CCCUUAGAUGUUCUGGGCUGCACACGCGCUACACUGAAGGGAUCAGCGUGUUCUUUUCCUGGUCCGAAAGGAUCGGGUAACCCGCUGAACCCCCUUCGUGGUAGGGAUCGGAGCUUGCAAUUAUUCUCCGUGAACCAGGAAUUCCCAGUAAGAGCAAGUCAUAAGCUUGCGUUGAUUACGUCCCUGCCCUUUGUACACACCGCCCGUCGCUACUACCGAUUGGACGUUUUAGUGAGGAUUUUGGACUGAGCCAAUGGUGGUUCACACCACUGUUGUGCAUGGAAAGAUCUCCAAACUUGAGCGUUUAGAGGAAGUAAAAGUCGUAACA
This 328-nucleotide ribosomal RNA is filed under the name uncultured eukaryote. RNAcentral's name for it is "partial 18S ribosomal RNA". It matches the Rfam family "Eukaryotic small subunit ribosomal RNA", at positions 1470 to 1796 of the family's 1831-position model. The record is from RNAcentral.